UACAUAAACGUAACGUUAAUGCACUGAAAUGCGUUUGUAACCUCUAGAGGGCAAAAAAACAAAAACUUCUAACGUUAGAGGGCUCAAGGUGCAGGGACUAACGUUAUCUGUUUAACUUUAGCCAUGAUUUGGUGUUUGCUACCAGUACCUCCGAGAGAAAAGACAAAGUUUUGUUGAAGGUUGAAGGACAACUACCAGACAACAAAAGCAGCGAGACAGAUAUGAACCAGCCAAACGUGUCACAACUUGUUCAAAGUCCUUGAAGAAAAAAAACAGCUCUCUCAUACCGGUUCUCCAUCUUCUGGGACUGCCAUCCAGACAUUAAUGGCCCAUUUAAGCAGCUCCAGCACAGUGAUACUGGAUUGACUGGAGAAAUCAGGCAGCCUCUGGACAUUGCCGUGUCAGCAACAGCAAG
This is a long non-coding RNA of Perca fluviatilis (European perch), 415 nucleotides long. RefSeq lists it as uncharacterized. The record is from RefSeq and is a predicted model, not a curated record. The transcript has 3 exons. Lineage: Eukaryota; Metazoa; Chordata; Actinopteri; Perciformes; Percidae.